Molecule: small RNA, 6036 nt
Filed under: Rattus norvegicus (Norway rat)
Lineage: Eukaryota; Metazoa; Chordata; Mammalia; Rodentia; Muridae
Description: uncharacterized LOC102555030
Source: RNAcentral
UCGGAAUAGCUGACCCUCUUAUCUGUCUCCUGGGAGCCACCGGUCCCUGCAGCCUGGUGUUAUCUGCUGGGGGAGGGCUGCAGGUUUGAGGAUUUAGAAGUUCUAUGCAGGACGUCUCGGAGAUGGUGGGGAACAGGCCCCUGUUGGUGCCUCAUUUCUGAAGCUGAACCCCGACAGUGGACAUGUCUGCAAGAAACAUGGCGGUGGAGUAGUAUGCUUGUCCUCUCUGUCCAGAAAGCAUUCCAUUUCCUGAAUGCUUUGGCCAACCCUGGUAUUGGGGUGAGGACGGGAUGUGGGGUGUGGAGAUCGGCUUCAGUGCUGGGCUCGCGCUGCACUUCCAACGUCUUUGUGGGGGUGACAAUUUAGUGUCAACGCACCGAUGGAGUUUCCAAGACCCAGACUUGAGAACGCCUCAGGCCUGGGCUUCAGAGAGCUCUGAGGCCUACAGUGGCAGCCUCUGGCAUGAGAGUUGUUAAUCCACCAGAGGACGAGUUUAAAACAAACUACUCAGGAAUGAGGGCUAAUAAAGUCGAAGGAAGGAGCUGGCAUUUGCAAGAACAUUGCAGGAAGAGUGAGAUCAAGGAGACAGGAGGGAACUGCCCAAGGCCUGAGGUGGACAGAGGUGGCCCCUCAGCAAACUGGGCCUUGGACUUCCUAUUACUGGAGUUGUUGGAGCAGAAUUCCCAAGGCUCCCCAGACCAGCUGAAUUUGAAUCUUCCCAGAAGUACAUUUCUUAUGUUCUUUGAGCUACUGCUGUGUGCUGAUUAGUCUCCCCUCCCCUCUCUGCAAACUAGACACAAGCUGUAAUUAUUUGGGAAGAUGAAACCUUUAUUGAGAUAAUGCUUAAGGUUGGCCUAUAGGCAAAUCUGUGUGGGAGGAGUUUUCUUGAUUAAGGAUUAGUGUGAGAAGGCCCAGCCUCAGGCUGCUGUUGAAGGUGACAGUCCUGGGCUGAGAGCCCUGGGUUCUAUAAGAAAGCAGGCUGGGAAAGCUAUGGAGAACAAGGAGCAUACCUCUGUGAUCUAGGCCCCAGAUUCUGUCUUUAGGUUCUUGUCUUGAAUUUUUGCCCUGAUUUCCCUCAGUGAUGGACUACAAUCUUUAAGCUAAAUAAAUUCUCUCCUCACCAAAUAGCUUUUGGUCAUGUUGUUUAUUACAACAGUAUAAAGAAAACUAAAACAGGGCAUGACCAGGAGAGGUGGACCUUGGAUCAAGUAGCUAGAAGCUUCCUGAAUUGCCUUUUCAUAGGAAAAAUGGCCUGAUGCUUCCCAUGAAGGUUGAGGUCCUAGAUUAUGCUCCACAGGGACACGUGUACAAUUGGUGCCACUUGGAGAGAACUCUAGCUCAGCAGGGCAGUGUCUGUCCUGGAGGGACCUGGACAUAGAGCUACAGACUCGUUGGUUAUGACUGAGCCCAUGAUGCACCUUGGGAACGCCCUUCAGCAGGUUGCGAGUUUGAAGAAACCCGUAGAUAAAGAAUGGAUUGAAAUGGCACCUCAGUUCUUCCUUCUGAAUGUCUGCCUUGUGUGUCUCUGUGUGUCUUGUGUGAACGCUGUUGUUCUUGAGGUCCCAGAGCAUCUUUUGCACCAGAUCAUCUGAUUCUUGGAGGACUUCUAAUAAUCCCCCAAGACCCUAUUCCAAUAUGCCCAUGCGGAGACCUGUUCUUGAGCUCCUGCUAGCCCUGGUCCCAUCCUACCUUCUCAUCCCAACUCUAAACAAUCCAUUCUGGCCCCAUCUAGGUAGCCAUUUGGGGAUGCUGUCCAAUUAGGGGCCUCUGGUAAACUGCACUCAGGGUUUCCUGAUACCACCGAAGGUCUUUUCUUCGUCUAUAAUAGUCUCACCCCUUCCUCCUCUGAAUGAGUCCAGUAAAGGGGAGAAGCCACAGACAUGGCUAGAAGAUAGACCAUUCUAACUGAAACAAGAGGAAAAAGAACGAGAGAGAGAGAGAGAGAGAGAGAGAGAGAGACUUGAUGCUUUUUCAAACCUAAAAAAAGCCUCCCCAAUUCACAUACCAUAAGGUUUACCCAUCCAAAGUGUACAGUCAUUAUCUGUACUCACAAAUGUCACCACUCUAAUUACAGAACACUCUCACUACCUAACAAAGAAACCCCUUAGGAGUUACUUCUCACCCUUCCUCAGCCCGGUUACCUUCUAAUUAUAGCAUUACGAGACAUCGAGGCAGCGUGCUUUGGCAGAAGACAGUGUGCAAUUUAAAACACAUUUUACUUCUUGGAGACUUUGAGUUACAUAAAUCAGCCCAAUGUCACAGACUUCUCUAGCAUAGCUGGGCUCCUGUAUACAAUAGUGUCUCGUGCAAACAGGACCCUGAAGUGAGCAUCUAUUCUACAGGCUGGCUUUCAGAGCACUGCUAUAAACACGAGUUCAGGGGUAGCGUUGUUGCGAGGGGCAGAAUUUGGGGAGUGAGGACAGACUCUCAGGUUCCAAGUUUUGUCCAGAAGUCUCCAGUGGAAAAUCCCUUCGGUUUUGUGGAGGCCAAGUCCCAGAUUUAAAACACAAGGGCGUCCCUGAGAAGGACAUCUCCUUAUUAAGACUGGAACAUAUUCCAGAGAGAAUCUGUGGAUAAUAACCAACCCUGGAAAACGUCCUCCAAUGCGAAGGGGAAUCCUCAGUGCUGGGCUGUAGUCAUUUGGAAGUGGACUUUCCCCCUUUGUUUCUAACUCGAGUUUCACGGUGCAUUCCAUUACUAACCAGACCAGCAUCAACAACAUUCAAGAAGGGCUCUGAUCUGCUGCGUUGUCCUGUGAUGGUGAAGCUGUCCUUCCAUUCUCUACAGAGUGUAAGCCUGUAAACCUCCUGUAAGGGUACAGGGAACACUUGAAAGCACAAGCCUGGCUUUGGAAUCCACAGUUUGGUGAUGAGGCUGACUUAUUUUGUAGGAAGAGCUCCCCCUGAGAACACUGCACGAAGGGGCUUGUCUGCAGGUGUGGUUGGACCCAUCAGGGUGGGUGGAGGCUAGGAGGAAGGAGCCAUGCAGCUUCCGGUGCAGGGUGGUUGGCUGGAGGGCGAGCACGGAGAACCGCAGCCUGCAGUUAGGUAGUGGGACUCAUCAGGUAGAACAGCUAGUGGCAGUUGGGCAGAAAUGAGCAGCAUAUCUGCAACAGCUCACAUCCGGAAACAGGUUAGAUUUUGCAAUUUUCAAGUGUUCCCUGUAAGCCCCACACAGCUCCCACGUUGUUGAAAACCUGGUAUCCUGCAGAGCAGAGACAACCUCACAGUCACAGGAGUGAUUCUUCUCGAGAGGCUGAAAGCAGCCCUCCCCUGGGCCAUGUGAGUGGCUCCACUUAUGGCCCUGUGGCAGGAUGGGGUUGGCGGUGAGCUCCAGCUGCAGAUGUGGGGAUUGGUAUUCUGUCUAAGCUCCACCCCCCAGGUAUCUGGCAACAGCCAGGUAUGCUCCGUCCCAAAGGCACGUGGGGAUUUAAACUUGCAGGGUGCUAUGAGUCUGAUGUGUCCCAGAAGCUGUUCUCUCUGUGUGUUCCCAAGAUGUCUUCACGUACAACAGCCAGGACUGGAGGUGUUCGUCAGAGGUGGACACCUGACUCCGGCAGCCAGCCAUUCAGCAUUGAGCUUCAGAAUGAGAUCGAAAUGGAUUUGCUGCCCAAACUUCCCGCCACGGCAGUGGCCAUGGCUUUCUACUGGAGUUCUUCGAGCAGAGGCUGAGGAUGGUUGUUAGAUCGAUGGUCCAGCAGUGUGCAUUAGACGCACAGAGCACACGGGAAUGGCUGGAAUGUAUCCUGAGGGCGGGGCAAGCUGCUGCUCUCAGAGAAUAACACUGAACCUUACAGGGUGUCUCCCCCAAAAUACGACUAGAGAGGAAGCAGCUUGGCCCAUCCGGAAUGUUGACCUUCAACAAGACAACAUAUCUGGACUCUGUUCAUUGUCAUGCUGGCCCAAAACAAAUGGAGGAAUGGGCUCUGUUCUUCAAUACACGGAACAACAAAAAAAUUAGAUUCAUGUAGGGACAAAAGCCUAGAAAAGUAUCUGACCUCCCAGGGCCUCGCUGUGUUCUUGUUGGUUACUCUCAACUUCAAUGUAGUCAAGGACUCUCAGUAAAAGUGAGUCACCCUCUCACAUGGAAACAGAGAAACAAACUCAAGUUCACGUGGCAGCUCUGGCUUAAUAGGUUGGGGAGAGCCUGGAUGCAGUAGCUUUUAUAAGUCCACAGAUGAUGCUGGUGUACACAUCUGUUGGAAAAUCAUGUCCCUGGUGAUGUCACACAGGCUUCUUUCAAAAGACAGGCCCUUCAGAUAGCUUCCAGAUCACCCCAGAGGUUCAGGAAAACAGCCAUGAAGUGGUUGAUUCGGCACUGUGGUCAUGCAUUUUCCUCUCUGAGUCACCGUAGUGUCCUGUACACCAUUAGGGGCACAACCCAGAUUCGAGGCUUCCAACUUCAUCCCCUGGAGGGCAGUUUGACUGAAGUGGUUACAGAGAAGUGGAAAAUAGCCAGAGGUAGGGAAGGGUUGUGACAAGUGGGAUGGAUUUCAAAGAAGUCUGUCUGAAGGGGCAGAACGGCCGCUGGUUGCUCUGGUCUCCGAGUGCCGAUUCAGGAGCCUCCAUAGAUCUCAUAACCUGAACCUGGGUUUGUUUAAGUCAAACCAUUUCCAGGAAGCCUCAGCUUGAUCCAGGGAUGUGCUCUCGUCUGUUAAACAGACAAGACUCAACUUGUUCAAAAACAGUGAGUUAAAGUCCGGCGCAUUUUGAGGCUUUUUUUCCUAAUAUUUUCCUGAGCUGUUAAUACCUUGUUUCUUCUGGGGUUUUAUUGCAUUCUUUGAAUGAAGGGUCUUUGCAGGGACAAGCAAGUUAAGGAUCUCCAAUGCCUGGUGACCUUACAAGAGAAACGGGAGACAGAAAUGGCGUGUGAUCUUGAAGGGUAGAGGUCUGGACCGCACGCCUCCAUAUGGCCUACACCAAGACUUCCUACUUCCCUCCUGAAAUCCCUUCUGUGAAGAGAGAUUUAUCAAGACGAUGUGAGGCACCUGUGAGUUCUGGCAGCGCAUCCCUGUGGCUUUCCCAUGCUCCUGCCUCAUGCGUACUGAAGUAAACUCUGAGACGUGAUUGAUGCCAGUGACCCCUUCCCCACAGGAUGGACUUCAGCACUCCAAUACCGCUAACAACAUAUCAUUAGCAUUCCUGAGAGUGAUAAUUCUAGCUGUAUCCUGAGUGAAUUCUCACGGUGACUGCGACUGUGUCUACAGCAGAAUCCUCAUUUCCAGAGAUGUUUGGGUUAUGCGUCUGUCAGGGUUUAUUUCCUAACCUACAAAGCCGACACUCCCGGGGAAGGUAUCUUCUUUUGAUAUUGCUUUUGAUAGAAAGUCGGACUUAUACUAUUUCCAAAGAAAUAUAAAAAGGCAGGCAAUUCAUGAUUUCAAGGAUAGCAGAUCCGUGGCUACCUUGUUUUUAAAAUCCCUUGAUCAGUUUCAUGAUGACCUUUUGUGGAUGGGAUCCUGGAGAAUUCUCUGCCUUUUUGGUGGUAUUCAGGGAGUGUUGGUUCCAACAAGAUGAAUCAACAUUGGCCUCCUUGUGUCCUGCCCUAUCCCCCUCCCUCCCUCCCAUGCAGCAAUGGCACUCCAAAUUUUAUUUUUUUUAUGCUGGUUAGACACAUUCCCUUCACCUCCCUUCCCAUCCACCAUAAUAGAAUGCUCUAGCCAUGUGCCUUGAUGUCGAAGGUCAGACGGGACACACCUGUUGGACACAUCAGUCUUGCCAAAUACGAACCACAGAGGAAAACGAAGAAGACAGAUAGCAAACUGUUCCCUGGUAUAAGGAAGGGCUGUCUUAGCUUCAGACUGAGAGGUCAAGGAACUCGUCAUUGGAAGCUAAGCAGUCCUUCACAAGAAUGUGUGCUUGAGUGUCAGAUAUGGUACAUCCAUUCGGAGGCGACACAGCUAUGAGCCAUGGGGGCGGGGGGACACCGCAAGACCCAAAAUAAUAAUUUCACUGUGAAUCACGGGAAGCUUCGCUCUCGAAAUAAAAUCUUCCCAGCCGUGAUGUCAUAUAAUUACUAAUUAAAGCAAUUAUGUCCUCA